This 780-nucleotide ribosomal RNA is filed under the name uncultured Neocallimastigales. RNAcentral's name for it is "partial large subunit ribosomal RNA". It matches the Rfam family "Eukaryotic large subunit ribosomal RNA", at positions 26 to 644 of the family's 3401-position model. Lineage: Eukaryota; Fungi; Neocallimastigomycota; Neocallimastigomycetes; Neocallimastigales. The record is from RNAcentral.
CGCAUCUGUGCAUGCAGCAUAUCAAUAAGCGGAGGAAAAGAAACUAACAAGGAUUCCCCCUAGUAACGGCGAGUGAAGCGGGAAGAGCUCAAAUUUGAAAUCUUAAAGGGUUUCCCUUUACGAAUUGUAGUUUAAAGAAGUGUUUUCUAGUUGAGGUUUUGGUAAAAGUUCUUUGGAAUAGGACAUCAUAGAGGGUGAGAAUCCCGUAUUUGACCUUUACUUUCAACUUUGUGAUACAGCUUUCAAAGAGUCGGAUUGUUUGGGAAUGCAGUCCAAAAUGGGUGGUAAAUUUCAUCUAAAGCUAAAUAUUGGCGAGAGACCGAUAGCGAACAAGUACCGUGAGGGAAAGAUGAAAAGAACUUUGAAAAGAGAGUUAAACAGUACGUGAAAUUGUCAAAAGGGAAGCGUUUGACACCAGUGUGGUUUUUCUGAAAAUCAAUUAAAGAACUGUUUAUGCUAAGUUGUUUAGACUUUAUCAGCCUAUCUGCUUAGUUUUGAGCUUUUCUUUAAUGCACUUUUCAGUUAACAAGUCAACAUCAAUUUCUUUUGCUGUAAAAAAGCUUGAGGAAGGUGGCUUGAGAUUCGUCUUAAGUGUUUAUAGCCUCUUGCCUAUGCAGUCGGAGAGAUUGAGGUCUGCAGCGUAGAUCCUUCGGGGCUAAAUGCAUUUGUGCUAAGUUAUAGCAUUUUAUAGACAACUUGUUGACUAUGAUUUGUCUUGUAGGCUUACUCGCUUAUGUUAUUUUACCUACCGCUUAGGAUGUUGAAUCUGUGCGAGACUAC